Piliocolobus tephrosceles (Ugandan red Colobus) is the source of this 1537-nucleotide long non-coding RNA. RefSeq lists it as uncharacterized. The transcript is spliced from 2 exons. Lineage: Eukaryota; Metazoa; Chordata; Mammalia; Primates; Cercopithecidae. The record is from RefSeq and is a predicted model, not a curated record.
GGUCCCAAUCUCCUGAGCUCAGGUGAUCCGCAGGCCUCAGCCCCGCUAAGUGCUGGGAUUACAGGCAUGAGUCACUGCACCUGGUCCCUAUUUGUUUUACAAAAGAGAAAUUGAGAUCCUGAGUGUUAAGUGACUUGACUGAGGCCAUCCCACUAACAGGAGCCAGGGUUAGGAUUCAAACCCCAUCCAACUGGUCCCAGAGCUGGAGCUUCUUGCACUGCCCUACACUAUCUACCAUCUCCAUCCUCUGGGCACCUUUGUAUAAGAACCAAAACAGUACAGAGCAUUGCUUUGUCAACUCAGCUGGGAACAUUUCCCAGGGCAACUCACAUUUUUCACUGCUCUGUGCCUGUCUGUAUAAACUCAAUGAGUAUUGAUUUAGGGGCUUUGGAGAACUUUGAAUGCUAUCCCCUAAGUAACCAUUGUUGGCAACCUGGUAUCUCUACUUUUAGCCAUUUCUCCUUCUCUAUAGAUAGUGCAGAAGUGACACUUGGUAACAAGCAUCCUUGCCAAGCCUCCACUAGGUCAGUGUAAGAAUUAAAGAAAGAGGAAAGAAACAUGAAAGGUGGCUUGAUGGUUAAGAGGUUUAUUUUAGAGAAAAUACACCUGAGAGGGGCUGCUGGCCGAGUUAGGUUCGAGCCACACUUUUUUACAGACUAAGAGUUUUUAAGGAUUUAGGGUGGGAGAGUUUAUUAGAGGCUUGGACUGCUUUUGUGGUUUUUUGUUGUUGUUGUUGUUGUGAUUAUAUGGGAGGGAGAGCGAUGCGAUGUGUUUGUUUUUAUACAUUUUUCUGCAGCUGCAGGGAUACCUCCCAAGUCUGCUUUUAGCUUCCCUAUUGUAGUGCACCUGGAGGGAAAGGAAUGUGCUUAUUAAGGCCCACUGUUUUACUGGGGCCCAUUGUAUGAAGGUGAAGUUUGGCAGUUACCCAAGAGACUUUUCCCCCACCUUCCUCUGUGCCUGAGCUGUUUUAACUAUGUUUUACUGUCUGCUUUUUUUGGCUGCUUAUAGUUUUUAAAAAAGUAAUUUCCUUAAAUCCAGAAGUCUGAAAAGGAAGCUGAAACUUAAAGUGGCAGUGUUUGUCUAAAAUAACGGGGCUCCUGCUCUGUCAGUCAGUACCCUCAAGUCACUCCUGAUCCUCAACCUCCAUGCCUAAGCCUGGUUCAAGAGACCAUAUAACAUCUGCCUUUUAUUACAUACAUGAUGAGUGCAUGCGAUUCUGCAUGCCCUUUGCAUGAUAGAGACUGCUGAGGUGAGAUGGGGAAUGUCAGAGUCAGCUGCUGCUUGAGGAAGCAGAAAACACAGCUGGAGGCUUGGAACAUGUGGGUCCCUAUGAGUGCAGAGCCCAUAUCCCCAUAGAGUCUACCUAGGGCAGGGGUCGCCAAAUGUUUUCUUAAAGAGCCUGAUAGUGUAUAUGUUAGGCUUUGUGGGACAGGUAUUUACAGCAACUCAACUCUACCACUGUGGUAUGAAAACAGCUAUAGACAAUCAUAAGUGAAUGAUCAUGGCUAUGUUUUAAUAAAACUUUGUGGACACUGAA